UACAGGGGGGGCAAGCGUUGUUCGGAAUUACUGGGCGUAAAGGGCUCGUAGGCGGCCAACUAAGUCAGACGUGAAAUCCCCAGGCUUAACCUGGGAACUGCGUCUGAUACUGGAUGGCUUGAAUUCGGGAGAGGGAUGCAGAAUUCCAGGUGUAGCGGUGAAAUGCGUAGAUAUCUGGAGGAAUACCGGUGGCGAAGGCGGCAUCCUGGACCGACAUUGACGCUGAUGAGCGAAAGCUAGGGGAGCAAACGGG
Molecule: ribosomal RNA, 253 nt
Filed under: uncultured bacterium
Lineage: Bacteria
Description: partial 16S ribosomal RNA
Rfam family: Bacterial small subunit ribosomal RNA
Source: RNAcentral